GAAUUGAAAUUAGGUUAGGAGACUUACCAAUAUGCCUUGGAUUUGACUCUAGGGCAACAACCAUCUCCACCAAUUCUUCUUGAAUAGGCACGGCAAGGUGUUCCUUGUUGUUGCCGUGUGCAUGCCUAAGUGCUAACCCUUCGUUUUUUAGUCCAAUGCUUUGCGUGAGAGUCUUUUCAAGUGCAUCCUCACUCAAAUCAACAAGGAAUUCCUGCGCCAAAGAGUCAAUCACAUCAAUAGAGAAACAAGAGUGACCAUCAUGAGGAUAUCUCAUAGCAUCAGAAAUAUUGAAAUCAAGAACUUCCCCAUCAAAUCCAUGGUCAAUGUUCCCUUGAAUACAUCUAUCUUUGUACAGGCAGUCUUCAUGAAUGGUCAGCCAAGUAAGAUUGGUAAUUGAG
This 398-nucleotide long non-coding RNA is filed under the name Malus domestica (apple). RNAcentral describes it as "long non-coding RNA (MDOM_LNC006893)". The record is from RNAcentral. Lineage: Eukaryota; Viridiplantae; Streptophyta; Magnoliopsida; Rosales; Rosaceae.